Octopus sinensis (East Asian common octopus) is the source of this 185-nucleotide long non-coding RNA. RefSeq lists it as uncharacterized. The record is from RefSeq and is a predicted model, not a curated record. Lineage: Eukaryota; Metazoa; Mollusca; Cephalopoda; Octopoda; Octopodidae. The transcript has 3 exons.
UCUAGAAACAGCAGUCAAAACAGCUAUAAAGCCAUUAUAAACACUCAUAUUCUAUCUCUUCACAAUAAAGCUGUCAGUGGGCGACAUGACAUAAAAUUCACAACUUACAAAUAAAUGUUUAUUCUCUAUUGCAAAUCGACCCCAGGACUUAUUCUUUGUAAGUCUAGUACUUAUUCUAUCGGUCU